AUCCCAUGAUGUGGGCAUUUCCGAAGCAACUCCUUAAACCUUUCCUAAGCGUCGUAUAGAGACUCCCCCUCCAACUGAUGGAAAUCAUUAAUCUCUCCUCUAAUCCGGGU
This is a small nucleolar RNA of Humulus lupulus (European hop), 110 nucleotides long. The record is from RefSeq and is a predicted model, not a curated record. Lineage: Eukaryota; Viridiplantae; Streptophyta; Magnoliopsida; Rosales; Cannabaceae.